CAAUAGGUCAAUUCGAAUAGGUCAAUUAUACUCCUCAACCUUUGCACGGUUCUUCUUCUGGCAUACGCCCUGUUCCUUGCAGGGGUUGACAAAACUUCACAACAUGUCUUGUGCACAUCCAUUUCUGUUUUACUCCAUUACAUAUUUUUGACUGCCUUUUUCUUGAUGCUAUCAGAAGGAUGCAUUAUUGCACAGUUGGUACUCAGACCCUUGGAUAUAAGGAACCGUUUGCACACGUGGCUUGGAAUUUCUUACGGAGUUCCGUUGGCAAUUGUGAUUAUUUCGGCUGCAGUAUUUAGGCUAGAAGGAUAUGGAAAUAAUCAAUUCUGCUGGCUGAGCAUUGAUACAGGACUUAUCUGGACCUUUGCUGGACCGGCAUUGGCAAUAAUAGGUGU
This is a long non-coding RNA of Mya arenaria, 395 nucleotides long. RefSeq lists it as uncharacterized. The record is from RefSeq and is a predicted model, not a curated record. The transcript is spliced from 4 exons. NCBI's taxonomy places the organism in Eukaryota, Metazoa, Mollusca, Bivalvia, Myida, Myidae.